GGUUAGCUAAUACCGCAUACGACUCUCGGUCUGCGGAUCGAGAGGGAAAGCGAUACCGUGGGUAUCGCGCUCAUGGAUGGGCUCAUGUCCUAUCAGCUUGUUGGUGAGGUAACGGCUCACCAAGGCUUCGACGGGUAGCUGGUCUGAGAGGACGAUCAGCCACACUGGCACUGCGACACGGGCCAGACUCCUACGGGAGGCAGCAGUAAGGAAUAUUGCGCAAUGGGCGACAGCCUGACGCAGCGACGCCGCGUGGGGGAUGAAGGUCUUCGGAUUGUAAACCCCUUUCGGCAGGGAAGAUGGAACGGGUAACCGUUCGGACGGUACCUGCAGAAGCAGCCACGGCUAACUUCGUGCCAGCAGCCGCGGUAAUACGAAGGCGGCAAGCGUUGUUCGGAUUUACUGGGCGUACAGGGAGCGUAGGCGGUUGGGUAAGCCCUCCGUGAAAUCUCCGGGCCUAACCCGGAAAGUGCGGAGGGGACUGCUCGGCUAGAGGAUGGGAGAGGAGCGCGGAAUUCCCGGUGUAGCGGUGAAAUGCGUAGAGAUCGGGAGGAAGGCCGGUGGCGAAGGCGGCGCUCUGGAACAUAUCUGACGCUGAGGCUCGAAAGCGUGGGGAGCAAACAGGAUUAGAUACCCUAGUAGUCCACGCCUUAAACUAUGAAUACUAAGUGUCGGCGGGUUACCGCCGGUGCCGCAGCUAACGCAUUAAGUAUUCCGCCUGGGAAGUACGGCCGCAAGGUUGAAACUCAAAGGAAUUGACGGGGGCCCGCACAAGCGGUGGAGCAUGUGGUUUAAUUCGACGACGCGAAGAACCUUACCCAGGCUGGACAUGCAGGUAGUAGAAGGGUGAAAGCCCAACGAGGUAGCAAUACCAUCCUGCUCAAGUGCUGCAUGGCUGUCGCCAGCUCGUGCCGUGAGGUGUUGGGUUAAGUCCCGCAACGAGCGCAACCCCUGUCUUCAGUUACCAACGGGUCAUGCCGGGAACUCUGGAGAGACUGCCCAGGAGAACGGGGAGGAAGGUGGGGAUGACGUCAAGUCAGCAUGGCCUUUAUGCCUGGGGCUACACACGUGCUACAAUGGCCGGUACAAAGCGCUGCAAACCCGUAAGGGGGAGCCAAUCGCAAAAAACCGGCCUCAGUUCAGAUUGAGGUCUGCAACUCGACCUCAUGAAGGCGGAAUCGCUAGUAAUCCCGGAUCAGCACGC
This 1204-nucleotide ribosomal RNA is filed under the name metagenome. RNAcentral describes it as "bacterial SSU rRNA". It matches the Rfam family "Bacterial small subunit ribosomal RNA", at positions 157 to 1357 of the family's 1533-position model. The record is from RNAcentral.